UUCCCCCGCUUCCGAGGACUUUGGCGCGUGACGCGAGAAAUGGAUUUCGAAUGCGGCGACGCGGGCGCGUGGAGAGCGGCGCUCGGCGCGUACGCGGCGCGCGUGGAGACCCUCGCCGGCGCCGCCGCGUCCAAGCGCGAGCUCCUUCCCCUCGACUCCUUCUACCGCGGCGACCUCCCCCUCCUCCUCCGCCGCCGCGGCCCAAAACCCUUCCUCUCCAAAUCCGAGCUCCUCCGCGUCGUCCAAUGGAAGCUCUCGCGCGGCCAAUGGAGGCCCCGGCUCAUGGGCUACGCGGAGGCGCUCGGAGAGGCCGAGGUCGAGGCCGCGUCGCGCGCGGCGUUCGCGGCGAUCCCGGACCUCGCCCGCGCCGUGUCCGAGCUCACGGCGCUCAAGGGGGUCGGCCCCGCCACCGCCUCGGCGAUCCUCGCCGCGUUCGCCCCAGAAAUCGCCCCGUUCAUGUCCGACGAGGCUAUGAUGGUUGCUAUGGGGAACAAGGAGUAUACGCUCAAGCACUAUCUUGCGUUCGCGGAGAAGCUACAAAAAAAGGCUAAGGAAUUAAGCGUCGACGGGGAGAGUUUCACCCCGACAGAUAUUGAGAGGGCCCUGUGGAGCUCUGUUGUGGGCUCAAAAGCGCUCAGUUCUUCCGAGAAGGAUGUUCCAAAAGCCGAUGCCAAGAGAAGCAGCAAAAGAAAAAGAAAGCCUUGAGCUGAAGCUUCUUCAGUUUUCGUCAGUGUCGUCUAUAUCGCAGCAUUGGAAGAUUCUGGUGAAGAAAUUUACAAUCCUUGCAUGCCAAUAACUAGUAUUAAGAGGGUAGGGGGGAAGAAACAAACUUCUGCAGCAUUUCGAAAAUGUCGUAUAUUUUAUAUUUAGAAUGACAAGCUGUUAUCAUGUUACUGAGAUUGGGAGUGUCAGGGGAUUUGUACGUCGUUGUUA
RNA transcript from Ananas comosus (pineapple), 933 nucleotides. RefSeq lists it as uncharacterized. The transcript has 5 exons. The record is from RefSeq and is a predicted model, not a curated record. Lineage: Eukaryota; Viridiplantae; Streptophyta; Magnoliopsida; Poales; Bromeliaceae.